GUGAUCUCAAAAACUUACUUGAGGCUGAUGAUCUAGCAGUAGUUCUCAGUUCUAAGCAUCGCCCUCGUUGUAUAAUUGGAUUCAUCGCUCAGAGCCUUCAGUCGUUAAACUUGGAGGGGACAAUACUGAGUCAGCUGGAGUCAAAGAUUUCUUGUUUCCAUGAAGGUAUUGGUGUAUGUGAACAACUCUUGGGCAUACCUAUUCCCCUUUCGUACACUCGAUUGACGUCAAGGUUCUUAGUCCUUUGGCAUCUAACUCUUCCUAUAAUACUUUGGGA
This 277-nucleotide unclassified non-coding RNA is filed under the name Hevea brasiliensis (rubber tree). The record is from RNAcentral. Lineage: Eukaryota; Viridiplantae; Streptophyta; Magnoliopsida; Malpighiales; Euphorbiaceae.